ACGUUCCUGCAUUUGAUUUAAGCCGAGUACAUGUGAUCUCAGUUGUCUAGUAUGCAAAACAUAUUGGACACAGUAAUAUAAUUCUUCUCUGUGCAGCUAUUUUAUCCUAUGCGCCGAGGGUCGUUUGGAAACAGCCUCUCUGCCCUUUCGGGUAGGGGUANNNNNNNNNNNNNNNNNNNNNNNNNNNNNNNNNNNNNNNNNNNNNNNNGCCUCUCUGCCCUUUCGGGUAGGGGUAAGGCUCGUCUACAUAAUACCCUCCCCAGACCCCACCUGGUGGGAGUAUACUGGGUAGUUGUUGUUGUUGUGCAGCUAUUUUAGCCUGUAUAGCUCUGACAUGUAUAUAAUAUGUCACAUAAUUCUAAUGAUUAAUGUAUAUAAAGGAUUCUCAGAUGCAUGAUACAUCCCCACUCAAAUCAUCAGUUCUAAACUUUAGUUUAUAUGCGAUGUGACUAAACUUUAGUUUAGCAAUCCUCCUAUUGCUACUUAAAACCCGUUUUGUAAGAAUUGUUUGUCACUUGCAUUGACAAGGCUGGGAUUGGAGAUCUAUUCUGCUAAAAAAAUACUGUGUUAUUUGAGCACAUAUAAUACCUGAUGGUAGUAUUAUGUCUAGUUGCACUUAGUGGUCAGUGCAGCAGAGGGGGGCAGGAGGAGAAUCAUGAGGUAUUCAGUUCAAAUUUCAUUGGAGGCAAAAAAUGAAAAAUAUUUGGUGGUUUCUUUUUAUUUGGUCAAGUGUAUUAAUGGACAGAGUUACCCGGUACUUGUGUUUUAAUGGAAGAUAGCACGUACCUGAUAGAAUAAUUGAGGUGCAUGCAAGAUGAUCGAAAGUCAUUGUUAUAAAAAAAGGUAUCAUAUAUUAUCAUAAUUAUUAUGAUGGUCGUGUUCAUCAUGGACUUGCCAUGCCAUUUGGGUCGGUUAAGCUCAUGCGAUGCGAACGUAAAUAAGGAAUGCCCUUAUCAAAAAAAUAAAAAUAAUUAUUUAAGCUUUAGAAGCUUAACACGCACGAAAGGUCUACUUAUUGGUUAGCGUUGACUUCUCU
RNAcentral lists this long non-coding RNA (1036 nucleotides) under Nicotiana benthamiana. RNAcentral describes it as "long non-coding RNA (NBEN_LNC006321)". Lineage: Eukaryota; Viridiplantae; Streptophyta; Magnoliopsida; Solanales; Solanaceae. The record is from RNAcentral.